GACGAACGUUGGCGGCGUGCUUAACACAUGCAAGUCGAACGGAAAGGCCCUGCUUUUGUGGGGUGCUCGAGUGGCGAACGGGUGAGUAACACGUGAGUAACCUGCCCUUGACUUUGGGAUAACUUCAGGAAACUGGGGCUAAUACCGGAUAGGAGCUCCUGCUGCAUGGUGGGGGUUGGAAAGUUUCGGCGGUUGGGGAUGGACUCGCGGCUUAUCAGCUUGUUGGUGGGGUAGUGGCUUACCAAGGCUUUGACGGGUAGCCGGCCUGAGAGGGUGAGCGGCCACAUUGGGACUGAGAUACGGCCCAGACUCCUACGGGAGGCAGCAGUGGGGGAUAUUGCACAAUGGGCGGAAGCCUGAUGCAGCAACGCCGCGUGCGGGAUGACGGCCUUCGGGUUGUAAACCGCUUUCGCCUGUGACGAAGCGUGAGUGACGGUAAUGGGUAAAGAAGCACCGGCUAACUACGUGCCAGCAGCCGCGGUGAUACGUAGGGUGCGAGCGUUGUCCGGAUUUAUUGGGCGUAAAGGGCUCGUAGGUGGUUGAUCGCGUCGGAAGUGUAAUCUUGGGGCUUAACCCUGAGCGUGCUUUCGAUACGGGUUGACUUGAGGAAGGUAGGGGAGAAUGGAAUUCCUGGUGGAGCGGUGGAAUGCGCAGAUAUCAGGAGGAACACCAGUGGCGAAGGCGGUUCUCUGGGCCUUUCCUGACGCUGAGGAGCGAAAGCGUGGGGAGCGAACAGGCUUAGAUACCCUGGUAGUCCACGCUGUAAACGGUGGGUACUAGGUGUGGGGUCCAUUCCACGGGUUCCGUGCCGUAGCUAACGCUUUAAGUACCCCGCCUGGGGAGUACGGCCGCAAGGCUAAAACUCAAAGGAAUUGACGGGGCCCCGCACAAGCGGCGGAGCAUGCGGAUUAAUUCGAUGCAACGCGUAGAACCUUACCUGGGUUUGACAUGGAUCGGGAGUGCUCAGAGAUGGGUGUGCCUCUUUUGGGGUCGGUUCACAGGUGGUGCAUGCCUGUCGUCAGCUCGUGUCGUGAGAUGUUGGGUUAAGUCCCGCAACGAGCGCAACCCUUGUUCACUGUUGCCAGCACGUUAUGGUGGGGACUCAGUGGAGACCGCCGGGGUCAACUCGGAGGAAGGUGGGGAUGACGUCAAGUCAUCAUGCCCCUUAUGUCCAGGGCUUCACGCAUGCUACAAUGGCUGGUACAGAGAGUGGCGAGCCUGUGAGGGUGAGCGAAUCUCGGAAAGCCGGUCUCAGUUCGGAUUGGGGUCUGCAACUCGACCUCAUGAAGUCGGAGUCGCUAGUAAUCGCAGAUCAGCAACGCUGCGGUGAAUACGUUCCCGGG
This 1343-nucleotide ribosomal RNA is filed under the name uncultured bacterium. Its description in RNAcentral is "16S ribosomal RNA". It matches the Rfam family "Bacterial small subunit ribosomal RNA", at positions 28 to 1378 of the family's 1533-position model. The record is from RNAcentral.